Molecule: ribosomal RNA, 1684 nt
Filed under: Shigella sonnei
Lineage: Bacteria; Pseudomonadati; Pseudomonadota; Gammaproteobacteria; Enterobacterales; Enterobacteriaceae
Description: bacterial LSU rRNA
Rfam family: Bacterial large subunit ribosomal RNA
Source: RNAcentral
CUGUGAGGCAUGCUGGAGGUAUCAGAAGUGCGAAUGCUGACAUAAGUAACGAUAAAGCGGGUGAAAAGCCCGCUCGCCGGAAGACCAAGGGUUCCUGUCCAACGUUAAUCGGGGCAGGGUGAGUCGACCCCUAAGGCGAGGCCGAAAGGCGUAGUCGAUGGGAAACAGGUUAAUAUUCCUGUACUUGGUGUUACUGCGAAGGGGGGACGGAGAAGGCUAUGUUGGCCGGGCGACGGUUGUCCCGGUUUAAGCGUGUAGGCUGGUUUUCCAGGCAAAUCCGGAAAAUCAAGGCUGAGGCGUGAUGACGAGGCACUACGGUGCUGAAGCAACAAAUGCCCUGCUUCCAGGAAAAGCCUCUAAGCAUCAGGUAACAUCAAAUCGUACCCCAAACCGACACAGGUGGUCAGGUAGAGAAUACCAAGGCGCUUGAGAGAACUCGGGUGAAGGAACUAGGCAAAAUGGUGCCGUAACUUCGGGAGAAGGCACGCUGAUAUGUAGGUGAAGUCCCUUGCGGAUGGAGCUGAAAUCAGUCGAAGAUACCAGCUGGCUGCAACUGUUUAUUAAAAACACAGCACUGUGCAAACACGAAAGUGGACGUAUACGGUGUGACGCCUGCCCGGUGCCGGAAGGUUAAUUGAUGGGGUCAGCGCAAGCGAAGCUCUUGAUCGAAGCCCCGGUAAACGGCGGCCGUAACUAUAACGGUCCUAAGGUAGCGAAAUUCCUUGUCGGGUAAGUUCCGACCUGCACGAAUGGCGUAAUGAUGGCCAGGCUGUCUCCACCCGAGACUCAGUGAAAUUGAACUCGCUGUGAAGAUGCAGUGUACCCGCGGCAAGACGGAAAGACCCCGUGAACCUUUACUAUAGCUUGACACUGAACAUUGAGCCUUGAUGUGUAGGAUAGGUGGGAGGCUUUGAAGUGUGGACGCCAGUCUGCAUGGAGCCGGCCUUGAAAUACCACCCUUUAAUGUUUGAUGUUCUAACGUGGACCCGUGAUCCGGGUUGCGGACAGUGUCUGGUGGGUAGUUUGACUGGGGCGGUCUCCUCCUAAAGAGUAACGGAGGAGCACGAAGGUUGGCUAAUCCUGGUCGGACAUCAGGAGGUUAGUGCAAUGGCAUAAGCCAGCUUGACUGCGAGCGUGACGGCGCGAGCAGGUGCGAAAGCAGGUCAUAGUGAUCCGGUGGUUCUGAAUGGAAGGGCCAUCGCUCAACGGAUAAAAGGUACUCCGGGGAUAACAGGCUGAUACCGCCCAAGAGUUCAUAUCGACGGCGGUGUUUGGCACCUCGAUGUCGGCUCAUCACAUCCUGGGGCUGAAGUAGGUCCCAAGGGUAUGGCUGUUCGCCAUUUAAAGUGGUACGCGAGCUGGGUUUAGAACGUCGUGAGACAGUUCGGUCCCUAUCUGCCGUGGGCGCUGGAGAACUGAGGGGGGCUGCUCCUAGUACGAGAGGACCGGAGUGGACGCAUCACUGGUGUUCGGGUUGUCAUGCCAAUGGCACUGCCCGGUAGCUAAAUGCGGAAGAGAUAAGUGCUGAAAGCAUCUAAGCACGAAACUUGCCCCGAGAUGAGUUCUCCCUGACCCUUUAAGGGUCCUGAAGGAACGUUGAAGACGACGACGUUGAUAGGCCGGGUGUGUAAGCGCAGCGAUGCGUUGAGCUAACCGGUACUAAUGAACCGUGAGGCUUAACCUU